RNAcentral lists this transfer RNA (86 nucleotides) under Elusimicrobiota bacterium. Its description in RNAcentral is "Elusimicrobia bacterium (activated sludge metagenome) tRNA-Leu". It matches the Rfam family "tRNA". Rfam says of the family: Transfer RNA (tRNA) molecules are approximately 80 nucleotides in length. Their secondary structure includes four short double-helical elements and three loops (D, anti-codon, and T loops). The record is from RNAcentral. Lineage: Bacteria; Pseudomonadati; Elusimicrobiota.
GCCGGGGUGGCGAAAUUGGCAGACGCGCGAGACUCAAAAUCUCGAGUGGCUUAGGCUACGUGGGGGUUCAAGUCCCCCCUCCGGCA